This 440-nucleotide ribosomal RNA is filed under the name uncultured bacterium. RNAcentral describes it as "partial 16S ribosomal RNA". It matches the Rfam family "Bacterial small subunit ribosomal RNA", at positions 338 to 795 of the family's 1533-position model. The record is from RNAcentral.
CCUACGGGAGGCAGCAGUAGGGAAUAUUGCUCAAUGGGGGAAACCCUGAAGCAGCAACGCCGCGUGGAGGAUGAAGGUUUUAGGAUUGUAAACUCCUUUUGUUAGAGAAGAGUAUGACGGUAUCUAACGAAUAAGCACCGGCUAACUCCGUGCCAGCAGCCGCGGUAAUACGGAGGGUGCAAGCGUUACUCGGAAUCACUGGGCGUAAAGGGCGCGUAGGCGGGAUAGCAAGUCAGAUGUGAAAACCUAUGGCUUAACCGUAGAACUGCAUUUGAAACUGUUAUUCUAGAGUAUGGGAGAGGUAGGUGGAAUUCUUGGUGUAGAGGUGAAAUCCGUAGAGAUCAAGAGGAAUACUCAUUGCGAAGGCGACCUGCUAGAACAUAACUGACGCUGAUGCGCGAAAGCGUGGGGAGCAAACAGGAUUAGAUACCCGGGUAGUC